AAUGAGAAAGGCCUGGAACGGGUUGGUCCUGAGUCGGAGAUGGACUCACAGGGCUAAAACUCGCCGGAGAUGAGCCGGAAAGGGCCAUAGAACUUGAAUCGCAAAGAUUAUGAGCUAGGGUCUUCAAAUUUGGCUCUGAAACCUCGAGGGAAAGGAGCAUAGAGGUAUGUGGGGAUAGGUACAGGCUGCUCAGGGUCUGAGAAGCCAUAGUUUCCAGUGAAAUAAGGUCAGAGACCGGUGAAAUAGGUUAGGAUUUCAGAGGGGCUUGGGAGCGUUUGAUAGAUGAUGG
This 289-nucleotide long non-coding RNA is filed under the name Nicotiana benthamiana. Its description in RNAcentral is "long non-coding RNA (NBEN_LNC028886)". The record is from RNAcentral. Lineage: Eukaryota; Viridiplantae; Streptophyta; Magnoliopsida; Solanales; Solanaceae.